This 254-nucleotide ribosomal RNA is filed under the name uncultured bacterium. Its description in RNAcentral is "partial 16S ribosomal RNA". It matches the Rfam family "Bacterial small subunit ribosomal RNA", at positions 524 to 776 of the family's 1533-position model. The record is from RNAcentral.
UACGUAGGGUGCAAGCGUUGUCCGGAUUCAUUGGGCGUAAAGAGCUCGUAGGCGGCUUAGUAAGUCAGGUGUGAAACCUCCAGGCUCAACCUGGAGACGCCACUUGAUACUGCUAUGGCUUGAGUUUGGUAGGGGUAAGCGGAAUUCCUGGUGUAGCGGUGAAAUGCGUAGAUAUACGGAGGAACACCAGCGGCGAAGGCGGGUAGCUGGGCCAACACUGACGCUGAGACGCGAAAGCUAGGGGAGCAAACAGG